Molecule: ribosomal RNA, 468 nt
Filed under: uncultured bacterium
Lineage: Bacteria
Description: partial 16S ribosomal RNA
Rfam family: Bacterial small subunit ribosomal RNA
Source: RNAcentral
GACGAACGCUGGCGGCGUGCCUAACACAUGCAAGUCGAACGGAAAGGCCCUGCUCUUGUGGGGUUCUCGAUUGGCGCACGGGUGUGUAACACGCGAGUAACCUCCCCUUGUCUUUGGGGUAACUUCACGAAACUGCGGCUAUUACCGCAUAGGAGCUACUGCUCCGUGGUGGGGGUUGGUAAAUUUCGGCGGUGGGGGAUGGAAUCGCGGCUUACGAGCUUGUUGGUGGGGUAGUGGCUUACCAAGGCUUCGACGGGUAGCCGGCCUGAGAGGUGGGCCGGCCACAAGGGGACUGCGGUAGGGCCCAGAAUCGUACGGGAGGCAACAGUGGGGAAUAUGGCACAAUGGGCGGAAGCCUGAUGCAGCAACGUCGCGUGCGGGAUGCCGGCCUUCGGGUUGUAAACAGCUUUCGCCUGAGACGAAGCGUGAGUGACGGUAAUGGGUAAAGAAGCACCGGCUAACUACGUG